This 491-nucleotide ribosomal RNA is filed under the name uncultured bacterium. Its description in RNAcentral is "partial 16S ribosomal RNA". It matches the Rfam family "Bacterial small subunit ribosomal RNA", at positions 29 to 506 of the family's 1533-position model. The record is from RNAcentral.
AGUGAACGCUGGCGGUAGGCCUAACACAUGCCAGUCGAACGGCAGCACAGUAAGAGCUUGCUCUUACGGGUGGCGAGUGGCGGACGGGUGAGGAAUACAUCGGAAUCUACUUUUUCGUGGGGGAUCACGUAGGGAAACUUACGCUAAUACCGCAUACGACCUACGGGUGAAAGCAGGGGAUCUUCGGACCUUGCGCGAUCGAAUGAGCCGAUGUCGGAUUAGCUAGUUGGCGGGGUAAAGGCCCACCAAGGCGACGAUCCGUAGCUGGUCUGAGAGGAUGAUCAGCCACACUGGAACUGAGACACGGUCCAGACUCCGACGGGAGGCAGCAGUGGGGAAUAUUGGACAAUGGGCGCAAGCCUGAUCCAGCCAUACCGCGUGGGUGAAGAAGGCCUUCGGGUUGUAAAGCCCUUUUGUUGGGAAAGAAAAGCAGCAGGUUGAUACCCCGCUGUUCUGACGGUACCCAAAGAAUAAGCACCGGCUAACUUCGU